GGGUUGAUCCGAGGCCGGAGGUUGCUUUGCAAGCAGCAGGUCACCGGUUCGAGACCGGUACGCUCCA
RNAcentral lists this transfer RNA (67 nucleotides) under Phycisphaerales bacterium. RNAcentral's name for it is "tRNA-Ala". The record is from RNAcentral. Lineage: Bacteria; Pseudomonadati; Planctomycetota; Phycisphaerae; Phycisphaerales.